GCCGGGUGCGGUGGCGCGCGCCUGUAAUCCAAGUUACCGGGAGGCUGAGGCUGGAGGAGCGUUUGAGCUCAGGAGCUCUGGGCUGCAGCGGACUAUGUCGAUCGGGUGUCCGCACUAAGUUCGGUAUCGAUAUGGUGCUCCGGCGGGAGCCCGGGAUCACCAGGUCGUCUAAGGAGGGGUGCACCGGCCCAGGUCGGACACGGAGCAGGUCAAAGCCCCCGUGCCGCUCAGUAGUGGGAUCGCGCCCGUGAAUAGACGCUGUAGUUCAGCCUGAGUAAGACAGCGGGACCCAGUCUUUA
Molecule: signal recognition particle RNA, 299 nt
Filed under: Echeneis naucrates (live sharksucker)
Lineage: Eukaryota; Metazoa; Chordata; Actinopteri; Carangiformes; Echeneidae
Description: Metazoan signal recognition particle RNA (ENSENLG00000000702.1)
Rfam family: Metazoan signal recognition particle RNA
About the family: The signal recognition particle (SRP) is a universally conserved ribonucleoprotein. It is involved in the co-translational targeting of proteins to membranes.
Source: Rfam by way of RNAcentral